RNAcentral lists this ribosomal RNA (466 nucleotides) under uncultured bacterium. RNAcentral describes it as "partial 16S ribosomal RNA". It matches the Rfam family "Bacterial small subunit ribosomal RNA", at positions 28 to 507 of the family's 1533-position model. The record is from RNAcentral.
GAUGAACGCUGGCGGCGCGCCUAACACAUGCAAGUCGAACGAUUAAAGCACCUUCGGGUGUGUAUAAAGUGGCGAACGGCUGAGUAACACGUGGGCAACCUGCCCCUCUCAUUGGGAUAGCCACGGGAAACCGUGGAUAAUACCGAAUACUUCGGGACUUCCGCAUGGAAGACUCGAGAAAGCUCCGGCGGAGAGGGAUGGGCCCGCGGCCUGUUAGCUUGUUGGUGGGUAAUGGCCUACCAAGGCAAUGAUGGGUAGCUGGGUUGAGAGACCGACCAGCCAGAUUGGGACUGAGACACGGCCCAGACUCCUACGGGAGGCAGCAGUGGGGAAUCUUGCACAAUGGGCGAAAGCCUGAUGCAGCGACGCCGCGUGCGGGAUGAAGGCCUUCGGGUUGUAAACCGCUUUCAGCAGGGACGAGGCGAAAGUGACGGUACCUGCAGAAGAAGCCCCGGCUAACUACGUG